GAUGAACGCUGGCGGCGUGCCUAAUACAUGCAAGUCGAGCGAACGGACGAGAAGCUUGCUUCUCUGAUGUUAGCGGCGGACGGGUGAGUAACACGUGGAUAACCUACCUAUAAGACUGGGAUAACUUCGGGAAACCGUAGCUAAUACCGGAUAAUAUUUUGAACCGCAUGGUUCAAAAGUGAAAGACGGUCUUGCUGUCACUUAUAGAUGGAUCCGCGCUGCAUUAGCUAGUUGGUAAGGUAACGGCUUACCAAGGCAACGAUGCAUAGCCGACCUGAGAGGGUGAUCGGCCACACUGGAACUGAGACACGGUCCAGACUCCUACGGGAGGCAACAGUAGGGAAUCUUACGCAAUGGGGGAAAGCCUGACAGAGCAACGCCGCGUGAGUGAUGAAGGUCUUCGGAUCGGAAAACUCUGUUAUUAGGGAAGAACAUAUGUGUAAGUAACUGUGCACAUCUUGACGGUACCUAAUCAGAAAGCCACGGCUAACUACGUG
Molecule: ribosomal RNA, 497 nt
Filed under: uncultured bacterium
Lineage: Bacteria
Description: partial 16S ribosomal RNA
Rfam family: Bacterial small subunit ribosomal RNA
Source: RNAcentral